CUCGCCGCGAGGCGAGAUCUAAAGAAAGCGGGCGGCAAACCUCCGGACCGAGGACCACGAACCCCAGGUGAGGCUGGCGGUAGUUGGACGAGCUUGCAUUACAAAGCAAAGUCCUUGCUAUCGAAGACUAUCGCUAGUAAAUGGGGCGGGUAGAUGGAGGGAAAGACAAUGUU
This is a non-coding RNA of Desulfosporosinus orientis DSM 765, 173 nucleotides long. Lineage: Bacteria; Bacillati; Bacillota; Clostridia; Eubacteriales; Desulfitobacteriaceae. The record is from Rfam.